This is a long non-coding RNA of Spea bombifrons (plains spadefoot toad), 747 nucleotides long. RefSeq lists it as uncharacterized. NCBI's taxonomy places the organism in Eukaryota, Metazoa, Chordata, Amphibia, Anura, Pelobatidae. The transcript is spliced from 3 exons. The record is from RefSeq and is a predicted model, not a curated record.
UGAUGUGUAAUCGCUGGGAGCGGAGCCCAGUGCAUGCCGCUUACAGUAACACAUCUCUGAUAGGAGGCUCGCUCUGCAGGGCCAGCCCAGGCUUUUGCAUUUCAUUUUCCGUUUCCCAGCAGAUGCAGGAGUUUAUCCUCCGCCCCUUGCCUGUAUUGUUUCUGACUGGCUCUUGAUCGCGUUUCCCUCAGCCGGCACAUCGCUCCUUCUCUGUGUUGUUGUGUCAGUGCCAGGCUGCUCCCAGGCUCCCCGCCACGGGGCGUCAGUCUGCAGCAUUUCGAGCUCUCAGGGGCCGGGACACGCUCCUUUCUCCAGGCAGCCGCGAGAAGGAGAGGGAAGAGGAGGGCACGGGACUGGCACAAAGGUCCUGCAGAUGCCAGAAUUCCAAAUUAGUGUCUACUGUGUCACCAUAAAGCCUGAUAUCAACAGAAGAAACAAACAUUGAGAGGUUGCGGAAAACUCUUUACAUUUCACAAGAAUACCCAAGAUACUUAAAAGGUAAAAGUCUUAAUUAAUUGUACACUUACAGUACAUUUACUUUGUGACUUAUCAGUAUCUAUUUAUGUAACUGAAUUGCAUUUAGAAGAAUAAUACGUUUUUGUUAUUUAUCAACAUAUCUUAUGUACACAAUAUAGUGACUUUUAAUUUCUGAUACAGUUAUACCCAUCAAACAUUCUGAACUCCUAGAAAAAGAGAGACCGGGGAUUUAAGUGGGGCAAUGGAGGGGGUUUGCGAAGAAGGACUGUA